CGCAUUGUCCUGGGGCGCCUGGCUGGCUUAGUUAGUACAACAUACAACUCUUUAUCUUGGGGUCAUGAGCUCAAGCCCCACAUUGGGUGUAGAGAUUACU
Mustela erminea (ermine) is the source of this 100-nucleotide long non-coding RNA. RefSeq lists it as uncharacterized. NCBI's taxonomy places the organism in Eukaryota, Metazoa, Chordata, Mammalia, Carnivora, Mustelidae. The transcript is spliced from 3 exons. The record is from RefSeq and is a predicted model, not a curated record.